This 490-nucleotide ribosomal RNA is filed under the name uncultured bacterium. Its description in RNAcentral is "partial 16S ribosomal RNA". It matches the Rfam family "Bacterial small subunit ribosomal RNA", at positions 29 to 507 of the family's 1533-position model. The record is from RNAcentral.
AGUGAACGCUGGCGGCAGGCCUAACACAUGCAAGUCGAACGGCAGCACAAGAGAGCUUGCUCUCUGGGUGGCGAGUGGCGGACGGGUGAGGAAUGCAUCGGAAUCUGCCCAUUUGUGGGGGAUAACCUCGGGAAACCGGGACUAAUACCGCAUACGACCUACGGGUGAAAGCAGGGGAUCUUCGGACCUUGCGCAGAUGGAUGAGCCGAUGCCGGAUUAGCUAGGUUGGGGGGUAAAGGCCCACCAAGGCGACGAUCCGUAGCUGGUCUGAGAGGAUGAUCAGCCACACUGGGACUGAGACACGGCCCAGACUCCUACGGGAGGCAGCAGUCGGGAAUAUUGGACAAUGGGCGCAAGCCUGAUCCAGCCAUGCCGCGUGUGUGAAGAAGGCCUUCGGGUUGUAAAGCACUUUUGUUGGGAAAGAAAAGCAGCCGGUUAAUACCCGGUUGUCAUGACGGUACCCAAAGAAUAAGCACCGGCUAACUUCGUG